CUACGAAACCUUCCCGUUUCAAUCUUAUCUUUCCAUUGACUUUCUUCCAGUUCUAUUUUCAGUUGGAAAAAUUUCCGAGUAAAAGCUUCAAAAAUGAGGUUGACCGCCCUUGGAAAAAAGCAUGUGGAAGUCUGUCUCAAAUGGGUACCGUCAGUGUUUACCUUCGGCACCGCUGCAGCUCUCACAGUCACAUAUGCUACAGACUGGAAAGCGGUCUUACAAUACGUACCUUACUACAAUGGAAAAUUCACUGAAGAAUAGUUUGCCCUUUGACAUCGUAAGAAUAGAAGCAUGUCGCAGGCCAUCUCAAAUAUUUGCAAUAUAAUUUCAUUCGGUCACGAUCCCAACAGGCCUGAACUGGACGAUCAACAGUGCGCAUUAAAAUUCUAGAUGAAAAGAAAUAAAUUGUUUCACUUUGUAUAAUUUUGUUGUAGAAAAAAAAAA
Cimex lectularius (bed bug) is the source of this 444-nucleotide long non-coding RNA. RefSeq lists it as uncharacterized. Lineage: Eukaryota; Metazoa; Arthropoda; Insecta; Hemiptera; Cimicidae. The record is from RefSeq and is a predicted model, not a curated record. The transcript has 3 exons.